CCUACGGGAGGCUGCAGUAGGGAAUCUUCCACAAUGGGCGAAAGCCUGAUGGAGCAACGCCGCGUGGGUGAAGAAGGUCUUCGGAUCGUAAAACCCUGUUGUUAGAGAAGAAAGUGCGUGAGAGUAACUGUUCACGUUUCGACGGUAUCUAACCAGAAAGCCACGGCUAACUACGUGCCAGCAGCCGCGGUAAUACGUAGGUGGCAAGCGUUAUCCGGAUUUAUUGGGCGUAAAGGGAACGCAGGCGGUCUUUUAAGUCUGAUGUGAAAGCCUUCGGCUUAACCGGAGUAGUGCAUUGGAAACUGGGAGACUAGAGUGAAGAAGAGGAGAGUGGAACUCCAUGUGUAGCGGUGAAAUGCGUAGAUAUAUGGAAGAACACCAGUGGCGAAAGCGGCUCUCUGGUCUGUAACUGACGCUGAGGUUCGAAAGCGUGGGUAGCAAACAGGAUUAGAUACCCCAGUAGUC
Molecule: ribosomal RNA, 465 nt
Filed under: uncultured bacterium
Lineage: Bacteria
Description: partial 16S ribosomal RNA
Rfam family: Bacterial small subunit ribosomal RNA
Source: RNAcentral